AGUAACGCGUGGAUAACCUGCCUUACACUGGGGGAUAACACUUAGAAAUAGGUGCUAAUACCGCAUAAGCGCACAGAGCCGCAUGGCUCAGUGUGAAAAACUCCGGUGGUGUAAGAUGGAUCCGCGUCUGAUUAGCUGGUUGGCGGGGUAGAAGCCCACCAAGGCGACGAUCAGUAGCCGGCCUGAGAGGGUGAACGGCCACAUUGGGACUGAGACACGGCCCAAACUCCUACGGAAGGCAGCAG
Molecule: ribosomal RNA, 245 nt
Filed under: uncultured bacterium
Lineage: Bacteria
Description: partial 16S ribosomal RNA
Rfam family: Bacterial small subunit ribosomal RNA
Source: RNAcentral